CCUACGGGCGGCAGCAGUGGGGAAUAUUGCACAAUGGGGGAAACCCUGAUGCAGCAACGCCGCGUGAGUGAAGACGUAUUUCGGUAUGUAAAGCUCUAUCAGCAGGGAAGAAGAAAGACGGUACCUGACUUAGAAGCCCCGGCUAACUACGUGCCAGCAGCCGCGGUAAUACGUAGGGGGCAAGCGUUAUCCGGAUUUACUGGGUUUAAAGGGAGCGUAGACGGCUGUGCAAGUCUGAGGUGAAAGCCCGGGGCGCAACCGCGGAACUGCUUUGGAAACUGUAUAGCUUGAGUACUGUUGAGGCAGGCGGAAUGGCUGGUGUAGCGGUGAAAUGCGUAGAUAUUA
RNAcentral lists this ribosomal RNA (345 nucleotides) under uncultured bacterium. RNAcentral describes it as "partial 16S ribosomal RNA". It matches the Rfam family "Bacterial small subunit ribosomal RNA", at positions 338 to 699 of the family's 1533-position model. The record is from RNAcentral.